This 361-nucleotide ribosomal RNA is filed under the name Staphylococcus capitis. RNAcentral's name for it is "bacterial LSU rRNA". It matches the Rfam family "Bacterial large subunit ribosomal RNA", at positions 851 to 1211 of the family's 2925-position model. Lineage: Bacteria; Bacillati; Bacillota; Bacilli; Caryophanales; Staphylococcaceae. The record is from RNAcentral.
GGUUCUCUCCGAAAUAGCUUUAGGGCUAGCCUCAAGUGAUGAUUAUUGGAGGUAGAGCACUGUUUGGACGAGGGGCCCCUCUCGGGUUACCGAAUUCAGACAAACUCCGAAUGCCAAUCAAUUUAACUUGGGAGUCAGAACAUGGGUGAUAAGGUCCGUGUUCGAAAGGGAAACAGCCCAGACCACCAGCUAAGGUCCCAAAAUAUAUGUUAAGUGGAAAAGGAUGUGGCGUUGCCCAGACAACUAGGAUGUUGGCUUAGAAGCAGCCAUCAUUUAAAGAGUGCGUAAUAGCUCACUAGUCGAGUGACACUGCGCCGAAAAUGUACCGGGGCUAAACAUAUUACCGAAGCUGUGGAUUGUC